Molecule: long non-coding RNA, 3348 nt
Organism: Lotus japonicus
Lineage: Eukaryota; Viridiplantae; Streptophyta; Magnoliopsida; Fabales; Fabaceae
Exons: 3
Source: RefSeq, a predicted model, not a curated record
AUGAGAGGACAUUUUAGUCAGCUACUUAGCUUGCUGUUUGGAGAUGGGGGCGAACAAAAUUUUCUCAAUACCAUCUAUUGUAAUUUUUUUUGAACUGUAAGGGGCGAAUGCCCCAAACCAGCUACACCUGGGUCCGUCCACUACUACAGAAAACACCUUUUGCCACGCCUCAAUUGCCAUGGUUAUAGGCGGAACCGUGGCAAAAGGUCAAUUACCACGGUUAUAAACGGAACCGUGGCAAAAGGUGACAAUAUUUUAUUAUUUUUUUUAGGAACCGUGGUAAUAUCUUUUUCCUUUCCCUUCUCAAAAUUCAAAACCCUAGCUUGGUCUUUUCUCAUUCUCGCGUGCAGCUUGCUGCUUCUCGCCGUGCGAAAUAAAAAACCGCACCUUCCUAGAUCUCUGCUUCUCGCCGUGUUGCUUCGUCUUCUCCGUCGCUUCCAUCACUCAAGCUUGGGUUCUGCUUUUUCUUCACCGAGGUCGUCCGCUCCAGCGCAACUGCAUCCCACGGCGCGCCGCACCUUCCGCUGCCAUUAUCGAGGUUUGUUUAGGGUGGUUUUUUUGUUGCCCAGUAGAUUAUUUGAGUAAAGAAUGAAACUUUCUGUCAUUAGAUCUUCUCCGUCUUCCUGAGUUCCUUUCAAUUUCUUUGGCCUUUUUGUUUCUCUGUUCUUUCUUCUCGUUGGAUCUGUGAGAGAAAUCGUUGAGGAAAUCGAAGUGGUGUUGUUCUUCCUCUUGAUUUCGUUUUUUCUUUCAAAGGCCGUGAAAGACAAUCAAUUUGGCUUGUUUUUGUUUGUAUUUAGUUCUAUGUGAAUGGCUCUGAUUACAGGUACUGAUUUGAUUAGGGUUCUGUUUUCUAAAAGAUCAAUUUUGCCCCAUUCUUAGAUGCUCAGUGAUUAGUUAUGCUUGAUACGUUUUCUGAAAUGAGUUUGAAGGUCACAUUUACACAACACCUUGUUUUUUUCAGCCAGUCAUUUUUGGCUGUUUGGCAUUAUAUCACCUGUUAAUCUUUUAUUUAGAUUUAUAACAUGUGUACUGGAAUCUCUAUUCAAUAUGGAACUUAGCAUCUGUUCUGCACUCCAUUGUUUUAUAACAUUGCUCAAGGUGUUUUAUAAUCAACAUCACUUCUAUGAUUUCCUACAAGUUCACUUUUGGCAGAAGAUGGCACAGUCUUUUACUAGAGAGCCUGAGCCUAGAUUGUUUGCUAAAUUGCUAGCUAAUGUUGUUGUUAACCCGUUAUUUCCCAAUUACUGAACUUUCCGCAGAUGUUACAGUAUUUUAACUUCAUUUUACUCUCACUAUAUUGUUUAGGCAUUCUUGGUCAGGGAUAAUAUAUUUGAUCUGUUAAAACUUAAAAUAGACAUUUUCUGAUUUUCAAUGUUGUGGUUACUGGUUAUGAACUUAUGGUACCUUGCUUCUGGUUUCUCAUGUACUUUAGUUAAAGUUCACAUUGCUUCUCUCUUAACAAACCCUCCUCUCCAAAUGAGUUCACUGUGCAGAAAGCUCUAGAGGGUAGAGCUGGAUUGUACUGAUAGUCAAUCAGAUGUAUGUAUGAGAGAUGUAUCGACAUUAACACUGCCUCUAUUAAUCAACCUCACAUCUUAUUCAAUGUUUAGGGUUUAACAAUGGUUUUUGGAUGCUGUUUUUGACAUUUAGUUGCAUAUUGGAGGCACAAAAAUUGGCGUUGAAAUUUUGACUUGUGGAAGCAUCACUAUGGCUCUUUGGAUGCCCGCAUGUUCCAUAUCAUAUUUGCUUUUUGCAGCUGCAAACGCUGGCGUCUAAGUGCUCCAUACCGUUGAUGGACAUCCACUCUCCUGUUAAUGCUGUGGAUGACAACAUCAUAAGUAAACUUGAAAGUAUUUUUGAAUAGUCAUUGCAUAUACAAGAUGCUGAGAAGUCAGAACAUAUUUCCAAGGGGGUGAUAUUGAUAAAUGUAAUGAGGGCGACGGGAGCUUAUGUGAAGGUUUUGAACAUGAAGAAACCAAAAUAAAGACAAGCUCUUCUGAUGAGGCUGCUACAUUGAUAGAAUCACUCUCUGCUGAGGAAAUGUUGCUGCUACUGUUGCAACAAAGGUGGAUCCAGCUUAGAGGCCACCAGCAAAAAUGUCAAGACCUUCAGUUCAGUUCUCACAGCUAGAAGCAAGGUAGUUAAUUGUUCCUUUCUUUUUUCUUCUUUGAUUAUCUUCAAUUUUGGAAUUUGAUUUGGGAUUUUGUGUGGUCAUUUAAAUUUAGUUUGGAUCGAGUACAAUGACUUUAAUUUCAAAUGAUCCAUAUGAAGUGUGAUAAUAGUUUUGUUGUUGUUGUUGUUCAUGUGUGGUCUACCAAUAAAAUUUGUCUACCUCAGGCUGCUGCUGGACUCGCUUAUAAGCUGAAGGAUUUGGUAAUGAGCAUUGAUUCAACUGACAUGGACAAUGAAUUUUCUGCAAUUGAGUACAUUGAUGAUAUCUAUAACUUUUACAAACUCACUGAAGUGAUGGCCUGGACUUUGUGUUUUUAUGUAGCAGCAGAUGGUUAUAUAUCUGUGCUAAUUACUGGUGACUGCUGUGCUUGUGUCUUCUGACCCAAGAGCAACAAAUAUGUUUGCUUUCCACUUUAGCCUACAAGUUUUGACUUGGUUGUACAUUUUGCUGCUAGUGCUGCUUCAUCCGAAUUGGUUGAAGGGUUUCUCUAUACAGAAAAAGCCUUUCAUUUAAAGAGAUAUAAAUUGUCUCUAACAAGGUGACACUCACUGCCUUCGCACUGCUAUGGAAAGGAAUAUUCAUGAAGUGCAUUUCUUGGAAUAUUCAUGAAGUGCUGUGCUAGGCUCAACUGAACAGCGAUGAGGUCUGCAUUGCUAUUGCUUGGACGCUGUGGAACCUAAGGAAUAUGAUCAUCUUCAAGGAAGGGCAUUUGGAUGGGGAACGAGUUGUGGAGAUAGCACAGUUAAGGGCAUGGAACUGGCUAAGAGCGAAGAAGAAGGAUUUCAAAUUUUCCACAUAUGAAUGGGUAGUCAAUCCAAGGUACUGCAUUGGAAGCUUGUAAAUGUUAUCUGAUGCUACUCUCCUAGAGUUCUUUCUCACGUUGCUUACUGCUUUCAAGUCUGUGGGCCUCCAGAGAGUUCAAUCCUUGGUGGUAUAUUGCUUACGAGUAGUACUGCUUCUUCUAGGAUAGGUAGAUGUUGUAUAUAUAUUAUGCCUGGGUGCUUGAGUACAGAGUUUAGUUUUGAGCAGGUUUUGUAGGAACAUGUUUCUGGUUAAUCUGCUCUGUUUUUUUUCCUUUUGGACCCUUGUAAUCAUUUGGGUUGAGGUACCCCUAGUACCUCCUUAAAUGAAUAUUUUGCUUACCCAAAAAAAAUAAUAUUGAUUUUGUUGUUUUA